CGUCCUGUGGCCAAGUGGUGAAGGCGCCUGUCUGACAAGCAGGAGAUCGACGAUUCGAAUCUGUCCGGGACGA
Molecule: transfer RNA, 73 nt
Filed under: Candidatus Entotheonella gemina
Lineage: Bacteria; Pseudomonadati; Candidatus Tectimicrobiota; Candidatus Entotheonellia; Candidatus Entotheonellales; Candidatus Entotheonellaceae
Description: Candidatus Entotheonella sp. TSY2 tRNA
Rfam family: tRNA
About the family: Transfer RNA (tRNA) molecules are approximately 80 nucleotides in length.
Source: Rfam by way of RNAcentral